Molecule: non-coding RNA, 3098 nt
Organism: Schizosaccharomyces pombe (fission yeast)
Lineage: Eukaryota; Fungi; Ascomycota; Schizosaccharomycetes; Schizosaccharomycetales; Schizosaccharomycetaceae
Source: the annotation of a GenBank genome assembly
UUAAUAACGGGAUAGUUUGAUCUUGAACAAACAUAAGUCUUCAUGCAAUAGAGCUAAUGCAAAUAUUUAGGUGAACCAGGAACCACGAUAUGAUUUUUAAUAACUUAACCAAAUCAAAAUUAAAUACGAUAAACCACAUUAUCUGAAAACAUGAUCUUGUUCUGAGCGUCCAUUUCUUUAAGUGCCACAAUAGCUUCUUCUCUCGAAAAUCCUACAUCAUCCUCGAUAUUAUUAAUUGAUUCCAAAACAUCUUCCAAAGAGGCACACUCUUCUGAGAACAGCUCGGAUUUUGUAAGGGAAGCCAACCGGGCCAUGAACACAGACAUCUUCUCACGAGGUAAUGAAACUGUGCUCUGCUCGCUCACAGAUGCCGACACUUCAGAAGCCACGCUAGUGCCUGUAUUGAUGUUACGGUCACUGCUGGCUAGCUCUCUCGAUGUAGCUGGUAAGGUCGAGUGAGUGGAAGGCCAUGAUAACUGGGUAUUUGAUGUUCCUACAUUAUAGGAACCAGCUGUUCCAGCGAUACUUGAACCAAUCUCCGAACCAGAUUCUUGACUUUGCGAAGUUGCAUUCUGAGAUCGGGUAACUCUUCUCGAUCCCGAAUCAAUGACCAUGUUUGUAUCCAUUUCUUCUUCAGAUUCCUCAAUAUCCAUGUCAUCGGAAUUAUCGUCUUCUGAGUCAAACUCUUCACCAGCCUCUAGGCGUUGUUUUUUGUGCUUCUUCCUUUUCGGUUUAACAACUUCACGAAACAAAGCAUAACGCAAAAUUUUUUCCGCAGCCUUUGCAUCUUUGACUUCCACAACUGAGCUCAAACGUGCUUUGGCGUGAGCAGUACUUAAUCGAAUCAAGGUUUCUAAAGUACGUGCCGUCAAGGGACUUGUGCGCCGCUGGUUUCCUUGUAAAUCGUCAUUUCGUAACCCACAAUAAAUAUUGGUAAUGUACUCAGCGGUUGCUUGAUUCAGAAUAGGGUGGAUACGAGAUUUUGCAUACUGAAUAUAUUUCCGCACAAAGUUGAUGUUAAGCAAUUCUUUCUUCUUCGUUCGAGCAUUCGCAUGCAAAAGACUUGAAAAUGUUUCCCAGACUGGAGUCUCAACUUCCUGUUCAACGUUUUCCGUAGAGACACCAGCAGCGUUUGUAGCUCCAACGUUUAAUACACUGUUUAAGGAAUCACGAACCGGCGUACCUGGCUCAACACCAGGAGGCAAGUAACGAUGCAUUCUCAAUACAUGCUCACUGAGAGCACGGUCCUUUUUAUCAUCGAUAUCAUCUGUAACAAUGAAAAGAAGGUCAAAACGCGAAAGCAUAGAAUCUGGAAGUGCUAUAUUUUGGUGAGGAUCUUUACGAAUAUCGUAUUGUCCAUAUAUAGGAUUUGCAGCGGCAAUCACACUACACCGAGCAUUAAGCGAAGUAUGAAUACCGGCUUUAGCAAUCGUAACUGUCUGUUGUUCCAUAACUUCAUGAAUAGCAACUCUAUCUAUGUCACUCAUCUUGUCAAACUCAUCAAUGCAAACCACGCCACGGUCUGCUAAUACCAUGGCACCAGCCUCUAAACGACGCUCGCCAGUUUCUUUAUCUGUGGUCACUGCAGCAGUUAAACCUACGCCAGAAGAACCACGACCAGUCGUAGCUAUAGCAAGUGGAGCGGUAUUAAGUACAAAUCUAAGAAGUUGAGAUUUUGCAGUGGACGGAUCACCAACCAUCAAAAUAUUUAUAUCACCACGAAUAUGAGUUCCAUUCGUCAAAUUUUUUUCAGUUCCUCCCAGAAGAAGAAGUAAAAUUGCUUGCUUGACGUAUUCAUAGCCAUAAAUACUGGGAGCAAGACUCGUAGAGAGAAGUUCAAACACAUUUUUUUUUCUGGCCAAUUUAUUUAUGUUACGAAUAUCAGCAUCAGUGAUGUCUAAUGCACCACCACCAACAUUUCCCAAACCAGGUUUAUUCCCUAACAAAACAACAUUGUUCGCUAGCAGCACAGUUCGAAACGUCGCGCUUGUAUUACCAGAUGUUUUAGACCCCAUAGAACGAUAUUGUCCUACUAUAUUAACACGAUCACCAGGUUUAACAGUAUCAACUAAGUCAUCAUCCAACAAAAUGUCAAUUGAUCUAGGAAGUUGUCCUGGUGGUGCACGUUCAGGCAUUUCCUGAAGAGAAAUUGACUGAUGAUCGCGAAAGGUGCUGAAGCCAAAUUCUAUUGAUAGGGGAUUACCGUUUUCGUCUUGUGUUGGAUAUACAGUGGAUUGAAAGCUAAGGCCGCCAUUCAUAGUAGCAUCGGCAUAUUGUUUGAAAUGAUGUCUUUUUGUAGCUUCGCAGUAAUGAACAGAUUUAAUUACUUUAGGACGAACAAAAGAGCAGCGCGUAACAAUUCCUUCCAGAGAAAUCAUCUUAUUUAAAUGCAUGGCUCUCAAAGUACGUGGAUUCACAUGGUGGUCACCAAACGAUCCCCUGAAACCCACGUAAAACAGCUUAUCCUUUAGGUCCUUAUGAACAACAGGAUCUAUGAGAGUGCUAACUACAUUUCUCAAUGCCUCAUCAAAAGGUUCCACAUAUUCAAGAGGCUUCAAAAGAACACCAUCAGCUAAUUCUCGGUUGUAAUCGCGCAGUUCAUCAAUAUUGACAAUUAAACGACGCUGACCCAUGUUAAGCAUUCUAAGGAUUGCCUCUUGGUACAAGGUAACGUUAGCAUCAUCAGUGUCAUGUUCAAGAUAUUCUUGAAAAAUUCUAACACGGUCUUUAAAAACCUCAUCUGCUAACAGCUCAGUCAUUUUUAUAAGCGCUUUUUAUUACCGUCCUAUAACUUGUAAAAAAAUAUCCAAAGGUUUCCAAUUUUAUCAUGCGAUACCUGCAAGCAAAUGUGUUGAUCGAAUGCUGUAGGGAUUUCGCGUAUAACUUAAGUGAGUUAAAUCAAACCGCACAGGUUUUAAUACAAUAUCCAAUACUAGCCUUUUACAGGCUUAUUACUGCCCUCCAAACUUUGAUAAAGUUUUCGAUAGAUGAAGAAGUAUUCUUAUGUUGGAUGGACUAUUUCCUUUAUAACUAUACGAAGUUACAAAAUGUUACUUGAUCGAAAACGAAAUUGUAAAUACAUAAAUACAAAAAAAGUU